Amphiprion ocellaris (clown anemonefish) is the source of this 393-nucleotide long non-coding RNA. RefSeq lists it as uncharacterized. NCBI's taxonomy places the organism in Eukaryota, Metazoa, Chordata, Actinopteri, Pomacentridae. The transcript has 3 exons. The record is from RefSeq and is a predicted model, not a curated record.
GGUGAUGGUAGCGUCUAUGAAACACUGAGAGGCUCUGAAGAUGCUGAACAGGCAAUGGUUGAGUCUAUGAAACAAUGAGAAGCUGUGAAGACACUGCUGCAGGUUUACGUCUUAGCCACAUGAUGGCGCCCUGUGUUUUUCCUCUGAGUCUCCCUCUGUUCACUGCGCUCUAAUUCCACUGCAUAUAUAGAUGGAAUUCAUCUGUGUCCAUGUUUAAUGUUUAACAAAGCAAAUUUAGCUUUGUGGAUUAACUUCAUCAGUUAUUUCUCCUUCCUUUGGGCAAGCAGGGUUUUACAUCACACUUUGUUAUAGAUUUGAACAUGAUUACAACCAUGUGUGUUAUCUUUUAUUUAUUGGUCUGAUUCCUGGCUGGUUUGGGUCCUCACUGCAAGU